This is a long non-coding RNA of Lycium ferocissimum, 462 nucleotides long. RefSeq lists it as uncharacterized. The record is from RefSeq and is a predicted model, not a curated record. The transcript has 2 exons. Lineage: Eukaryota; Viridiplantae; Streptophyta; Magnoliopsida; Solanales; Solanaceae.
CACAUUGGAGAGUUUCUUGAUGAAAAUUUGAAUACUAAAAAUUAUUAAAAUUGUUUUUUAGUAUUGGUUGGAGCAACGAAUAUGAAGUUAAAUAUAAUUCUAUAGAAAAUGACUCUCACCAUUAAGUGAACAUUAUAAUUACUCUUUAAUUUAGGUAAUUGAUAAAUCUGUUGCCUUUUAUUGAAUACUAAUUAUUAUUUAUGUUUUACAAUUUGGGUGAAACAGGAGAAGCAACUACUGUUAGUGGAAAAUAAAAUGGCAGAUGAGAGUACUGUUGCGAAUCACUUGAAGACAUUCACAUUGUAGAGGCAUUAACCAGAGUUCAGGGCUGUCAAUGAGAGCUUAUCUCAAACAUGAAUAUUUUGCUUUGGUUUUUGAGUGUUUAAUUUCCUUUUAUUUUGGGUUUGAUUGAGUGUGUGGAAUUGGUUUGAAUAAAAUUGUUUCUGAGAUUCUAUGCAAGAA